UACGGGGGGGGCAAGCGUUGUUCGGAAUUACUGGGCGUAAAGCAUGCGCAGGCGGUUAUGCAAGACAGAUGUGAAAUCCCCGGGCUCAACCUGGGAACUGCAUUUGUGACUGCAUGGCUAGAGUACGGUAGAGGGGGAUGGAAUUCCGCGUGUAGCAGUGAAAUGCGUAGAUAUGCGGAGGAACACCGAUGGCGAAGGCAUCCCCUGGACCUGUACUGACGCUCAUGCACGAAAGCGUGGGGAGCAAACAGG
Molecule: ribosomal RNA, 252 nt
Filed under: uncultured bacterium
Lineage: Bacteria
Description: partial 16S ribosomal RNA
Rfam family: Bacterial small subunit ribosomal RNA
Source: RNAcentral